GACAGGAGGCUCAGAUGCUCAAGGUGCUGGUAAGGUCAAAAAGGUGAUUCUUGCACCUCAUCUAAGAGUUACUAUCCAAACCCGCCAAACCGAAUUCUGACUUGAAAUGUGGAUAUGUAAGAAGUGGGUAAGUGAGAAAUAUUAGGAAUUUUUAUGCCAUUUUAGAGGAAAAAUAGGGUGUUUUAUUGUUGGGUGUAAAAUUGAAAGGGAUGUUCU
Molecule: long non-coding RNA, 216 nt
Filed under: Malus domestica (apple)
Lineage: Eukaryota; Viridiplantae; Streptophyta; Magnoliopsida; Rosales; Rosaceae
Description: long non-coding RNA (MDOM_LNC005544)
Source: RNAcentral